RNAcentral lists this ribosomal RNA (442 nucleotides) under uncultured bacterium. RNAcentral describes it as "partial 16S ribosomal RNA". It matches the Rfam family "Bacterial small subunit ribosomal RNA", at positions 338 to 795 of the family's 1533-position model. The record is from RNAcentral.
CCUACGGGAGACAGCAGUAGGGAAUCUUUCACAAUGGGCGAAAGCCUGAUGGAGCAACGCCGCGUGCAGGAUGAAGGCCUUCGGGUUGUAAACUGCUUUUAUAAGCGAGAAAUAUGAUGGUAACUUAUGAAUAAGGAUCGGCUAACUACGUGCCAGCAGCCGCGGUCAUACGUAGGAUCCGAGCAUUAUCCGGAGUGACUGGGUGUAAAGAGUUGCGUAGGUGGCAUAAUAAGUAGCUAGUGAAAUCUGGUGGCUCAACCAUUCAGACUAUUAGCUAAACUGUUAAGCUCGAGACCGUUAGGGGUAACUGGAAUGUCUAGUGUAGGAGUGAAAUCCGUAGAUAUUAGAAGGAACACCAAUAGCGUAGGCAGGUUGCUGGGACGGUUCUGACACUAAGGCACGAAAGCGUAGGGAGCAAACGGGAUUAGAUACCCCAGUAGUC